RNAcentral lists this ribosomal RNA (1043 nucleotides) under uncultured organism. Its description in RNAcentral is "bacterial SSU rRNA". It matches the Rfam family "Bacterial small subunit ribosomal RNA", at positions 61 to 1103 of the family's 1533-position model. The record is from RNAcentral.
GUCGGACGGGAUCAUGGCUUCGGCUGUGGUGAGAGUGGCGAACGGGUGAUAACACGUAGGUUUCUGCCUUUGGGUGGGGGAUAGCCCAUGGAAACAUGGGGUAAUACCGCAUAAAGCCUUUCGGGGUUAAAGGAGCAAUUGUUCCGCCUGGGGAUGAGCCUGCGGUCCAUUAGCUUGUUGGUGUGGUAAUGGCGCACCAAGGCGACGAUGGAUAGCCGGCCUGAGAGGGUGAACGGCCACACUGGGACUGAGACACGGCCCAGACUCUUACGGGAGGCAGCAGCUAAGAAUCUUCCGCAAUGGGGGAAACCCUGACGGAGCGACGCCGCGUGGACGAUGAAGGCCGGAAGGUUGUAAAGUCCUUUUCUUCGCGAAGAAUAAUGCUGGGAGUGGAAUGCCCGGCAGAUGACGUUAGCGGAGGAAUAAGCCCCGGCCAAUUACGUGCCAGCAGCCGCGGUAACACGUAUGGGGCGAGCGUUGUUCGGAAUUAUUGGGCGUAAAGGGCGUGUAGGCGGCCUGUUAAGCUUGGUGUUAAAGGCCACGGCUCAACCGUGGUUUAGCGCUGAGAACUGGCGGGCUAGAGUUCUGGAGGGGGAGCUGGAAUUCCAGGUGUAGGGGUGAAAUCUGUAGAUAUCUGGAAGAACACCGGUGGCGAAGGCGAGCUCCUGGCCAUGGACUGACGCUGAGGCGCGAAAGCGUGGGGAGCGAACAGGAUUAGAUACCCUGGUAGUCCACGCUGUAAACGAUGUGCACUGGGCGUAGGGGGCAUUGGGUCCUCUGUGCCGUAGCUAACGCGUUAAGUGCACCGCCUGGGGAGUAUGCCCCGCAGGGUGAAACUCAAAGGACAUUGACGGGGGCCCGCACAAGCGGUGGAGCCUGUUGGUUUAUUCGAUGAUACGCGAGGAACCUUACCGGGGGUGGACAUGCACAGGGAUGGCGUGGAGACAAGGCAGGCCCUUCUGGGGACCUGUGCACAGGUGCUGCAUGGCUGUCGUCAGCUCGUGUCGUGAGAUGUUGGGUUAAGUCCCGCAACGAGCGCAACC